AUUGAACGCUGGCGGCAGGCCUAACACAUGCCAGUCGAGCGGAUGAAGGGAGCUUGCUCCUGGAUUCAGCGGCGGACGGGUGAGUAAUGCCUAGGAAUCUGCCUGGUAGUGGGGAUAACGUCCGGAAACGGGCGCUAAUACCGCAUACGUCCUGAGGGAGAAAGUGGGGGAUCUUCGGACCUCACGCUAUCAGAUGAGCCUAGGUCGGAUUAGCUAGUUGGUGGGGUAAAGGCCUACCAAGGCGACGAUCCGUAACUGGUCUGAGAGGAUGAUCAGUCACACUGGAACUGAGACACGGUCCAGACUCCUACGGGAGGCAGCAGUGGGGAAUAUUGGACAAUGGGCGAAAGCCUGAUCCAGCCAUGCCGCGUGUGUGAAGAAGGUCUUCGGAUUGUAAAGCACUUUAAGUUGGGAGGAAGGGCAGUAAGUUAAUACCUUGCUGUUUUGACGUUACCAACAGAAUAAGCACCGGCUAACUUCGUG
Molecule: ribosomal RNA, 483 nt
Filed under: uncultured bacterium
Lineage: Bacteria
Description: partial 16S ribosomal RNA
Rfam family: Bacterial small subunit ribosomal RNA
Source: RNAcentral